This 818-nucleotide unclassified non-coding RNA is filed under the name Hevea brasiliensis (rubber tree). The record is from RNAcentral. Lineage: Eukaryota; Viridiplantae; Streptophyta; Magnoliopsida; Malpighiales; Euphorbiaceae.
UGCAGGCCAGCAAUAGCCAUUAGUUCAAAUUCCAAACAAACAAUCAAAACCUCCCAACCAUCUGCUUAAAAUGCAUUAAAAAACGCAUUUAUUUACAGUAAAUUCAUGCAGACGAGUGUUUACAAAUUAGAUCACUGUAUUAAUUAGUUUAUAAGGAGAGAUCAAGAACCCUCCAAACGAUGAUCUCCAUCACUGUCAACCUUCAAUGUGAAGCCAAAGGAAGGCAAUCCAAUACAAACAUCAAAGGAACCAGCAUUAAACUUUUCAAUCCUUCACAAGAAAACUCUCCAGAAGCAGUCUCAUUCCUGCAUCAAAUAAAAAAAUAUCACUCUCUCUACUCUUAAACAGACUACUUGCUAAAAAAAAGUUUUAAGAAGAUAAAGCAAAAAAUUUCGAUACCAAAAUAACAGGUUUCAUAAAGAAACUACCUAAACCCAAACCUCAACAGCACAAUAACCACAGGCUCAUUCAAUUGCUAAAUUCGCUGUUUGGUUACAAGGAACAAUAAGAAAAAUAAAAGAAAUUGAAUUCAAAUAACAGAGUCUCCAUCAUGUGGCAGGGAGAUGCAGUAGCCUCAUCGACUCAGGUGAGUCCAACACAAAAUAUAUGAAUCUAUUCAAUUCCCAAUCCCUCUGGUCUCCGUUUGGUCGCUGAGAAAAUGCAAGAAAAGGUGAGAAAGCGAAACUUUAUACCUCACAUUUUCCAUUACUCGCAAAACAAUACUUAACGACCUCCAAUUUAACAAUCUCAUAUUAAGCUGCUGAAUUCCAAAAAUCCAAAACAAUUUAUUUCCCAUCCUUUUCCUCACCUUUCUCAGC